AGAGUUUGAUUCUGGCUCAGGAUGAACGCUGGCGGCGUGCUUAACACAUGCAAGUCGAACGGAGUUUUUAAACGGAAGUUUUCGGAUGGAAGUUUAGAAACUUAGUGGCGGACGGGUGAGUAACGCGUGGGUAACCUGCCUCAUACAGGGGGAUAACAGUUAGAAAUGACUGCUAACACCGCAUAAUAUAGCGAAACCGCAUGAUUUUGCUAUCAAAUAUUUAUAGGUAUGAGAUGGGCCCGCGUCUGAUUAGCUAGUUGGUGGGGUAAAAGCCUACCAAGGCGACGAUCAGUAGCCGGCUUGAGAGAGUGACCGGCCACAUUGGGACUGAGACACGGCCCAAACUCCUACGGGAGGCAGCAGUGGGGAAUAUUGGACAAUGGGGGAAACCCUGAUCCAGCGACGCCCGCGUGAGUGAAGAAGUAUUUCGGUAUGUAAAGCUCUAUCAGCAGGGAAGAUAAUGACAGUACCUGACUAAGAAGCCCCGGCUAACUACGUGCCAGCAGCAGC
Molecule: ribosomal RNA, 510 nt
Filed under: uncultured bacterium
Lineage: Bacteria
Description: bacterial SSU rRNA
Rfam family: Bacterial small subunit ribosomal RNA
Source: RNAcentral